Raphanus sativus (radish) is the source of this 949-nucleotide long non-coding RNA. RefSeq lists it as uncharacterized. NCBI's taxonomy places the organism in Eukaryota, Viridiplantae, Streptophyta, Magnoliopsida, Brassicales, Brassicaceae. The record is from RefSeq and is a predicted model, not a curated record. The transcript is spliced from 3 exons.
GGCGAAUCCGAUAGAAGAGCAGGAGAAGAAGAGGGUAGUGAUGAAAACGAGAUAUUUUUUUAAAGAGAUGCUUGAUCUAGAGAGUGAAUUUGAUGCCUUUGGAGCUGUUAAUGAACAAGAACGGCCUUCACAAUGCAGAUGACGCAUACUACUACCUUACAUGUGCUUCUGGAAGCUGGUGGACUGGAGUAGGAAGUUAACCGGAAGCCGUCAUGGUCGAAACCUCUGCUAAACUGAACAGUUGUUUGUUCACUGCAAGAACAUCUCAGUACAUUCACGCUUGAAGCUUUACGCUGACCCAUCUUUGUGAAGACGCAGGAAUAUUAACAACAUCACAACUCAGCAAAGAUGAGAGACCACGUAAAACAAAGGUAUUCAUGACAUUUUCUUAUUCUCAAAUUUACUUGACCUCACUCUGCCGCUCUGUCCAAACCACAUUUUGGGUAUAUUAUGUGUUGCAUAUGAUCAAGUAUUUUUUAUCUAUUGAAGAAAGUAUCACGCCGCGAGUAAUGGAGAGAGUCUUGGGGAUUCGCAAACGUCACAUGCUAAGUUAGCACUCACGCUGUAUAUUUAGUUAAUUUUGUCUCAGUCAUUACAAUUUCUGCAGUUUAGAUAAUCAAUACUUAGAUUUGGUAACAUAAUUUAUUUAUUGGAUGGUAAGGUUGCAUCAGCUUCUUUUAAUGGAGCAUGCAGACAACUGAAUGGACCUCCUUAGAAACUCAAGCUCUGGGGCAGGCUACAUGGAGAAGUUCCUCAAGAGUUCUUUGCCGUACUGUGAAAGAGUUUAUGAGACUAUGGAUUCGGCAAAGGAAACUGAGGUUACAACAUCCAGCCUAGGAAAUUGGGCAUCAGCACCUUCCCUAGACCAUGGUUAAUCCGAGCAAGUGCGUUUAAGGAAUAAAAUAUCUCAAAGUUUAUGACAACAAAUAUGUUAUGUUUCAUCAUAAAA